ACUCCUACGGGAGGCAGCAGUAGGGAAUAUUGCUUAAUGGGCGAAAGCCUGAAGCAACAACGCCGCGUGUGCGAUGAAGGCCUUCGGGUUGUAAAGCACUUUUUGCUGGGAAGAGGAAGGACGGUACCAGCAGAAUAAGCCUCGGCUAACUACGUGCCAGCAGCCGCGGUAAU
RNAcentral lists this ribosomal RNA (173 nucleotides) under uncultured bacterium. RNAcentral describes it as "partial 16S ribosomal RNA". It matches the Rfam family "Bacterial small subunit ribosomal RNA", at positions 335 to 524 of the family's 1533-position model. The record is from RNAcentral.